This 479-nucleotide ribosomal RNA is filed under the name uncultured bacterium. RNAcentral describes it as "bacterial SSU rRNA". It matches the Rfam family "Bacterial small subunit ribosomal RNA", at positions 25 to 518 of the family's 1533-position model. The record is from RNAcentral.
CAGGACGAACGCUAGCGGCGUGCCUAACACAUGCAAGUCGAGCGAUGAAAUCCUUCGGGAUGGAUUAGCGGCGGACGGGUGAGUAACACGUGGGUAACCUGCCUUGUAGAGGGGGAUAGCCUUCCGAAAGGAAGAUUAAUACCGCAUAACAUCUUUUUAUCGCAUGGUAGAAAGAUCAAAGGAGCAAUCCGCUACAAGAUGGACCCGCGGCGCAUUAGCUAGUUGGUGAGGUAACGGCUCACCAAGGCGACGAUGCGUAGCCGACCUGAGAGGGUGAUCGGCCACAUUGGAACUGAGACACGGUCCAGACUCCUACGGGAGGCGAGCAGUGGGGAAUAUUGCGCAAGUACGGGGGGAAACCCUGACGCAGCAACGCCGCGUGAAUGAAGAAGGCCUUAGGGUUGUAAAGUUCUGUUUACGGGGACGAUAAUGACGGUACCCGUGGAGGAAGCCACGGCUAACUACGUGCCAGCCGCCGC